This 120-nucleotide ribosomal RNA is filed under the name Salmonella sp. FORC89. Lineage: Bacteria; Pseudomonadati; Pseudomonadota; Gammaproteobacteria; Enterobacterales; Enterobacteriaceae. The record is from RNAcentral.
GUUCGGGUAAUGGUAGGGCCGUAAAACUAAUUCGGUAAAAUCUUCCAGAACGCAUCAAUUAGCGGCUCAUGCAGCCGCUUUUUUUGCGCGCAGACGCCGAGUUCAAACGGCGUUUUUUCA